ACGCUGGCGGCGUGCCUAAUACAUGCAAGUAGAACGCUGAAGCUGGUGCUUGCACGAGCGGAUGAGUUGCGAACGGGUGAGUAACGCGUAGGUAACCUGCCUCUUAGCGGGGGAUAACUAUUGGAAACGAUAGCUAAUACCGCAUAAAAGUCGAUAUCGCAUGAUAUUGAUUUGAAAGGUGCAAUUGCAUCACUAAGAGAUGGACCUGCGUUGUAUUAGCUAGUUGGUGAGGUAACGGCUCACCAAGGCGACGAUACAUAGCCGACCUGAGAGGGUGAUCGGCCACACUGGGACUGAGACACGGCCCAGGCUCCUACGGGAGGCAGCAGUAGGGAAUCUUCGGCAAUGGGGGCAACCCUGACCGAGCAACGCCGCGUGAGUGAAGAAGGUUUUCGGAUCGUAAAGCUCUGUUGUAAGAGAAGAACGAGUGUGAGAGUGGAAAGUUCACACUGUGACGGUAACUUACCAGAAAGGGACGGCUAACUACGUGCCAGCAGCCGCGGUAAUACGUAGGUCCCGAGCGUUAUCCGGAUUUAUUGGGCGUAAAGCGAGCGCAGGCGGUUAGAUAAGUCUGAAGUUAAAGGCUGUGGCUUAACCAUAGUACGCUUUGGAAACUGUUUAACUUGAGUGCAAGAGGGGAGAGUGGAAUUCCAUGUGUAGCGGUGAAAUGCGUAGAUAUAUGGAGGAACACCGGUGGCGAAAGCGGCUCUCUGGCUUGUAACUGACGCUGAGGCUCGAAAGCGUGGGGAGCAAACAGGAUUAGAUACCCUGGUAGUCCACGCCGUAAACGAUGAGUGCUAGGUGUUAGACCCUUUCCGGGGUUUAGUGCCGCAGCUAACGCAUUAAGCACUCCGCCUGGGGAGUACGACCGCAAGGUUGAAACUCAAAGGAAUUGACGGGGGGCCCCGCACAAGCGGU
RNAcentral lists this ribosomal RNA (918 nucleotides) under uncultured bacterium. Its description in RNAcentral is "bacterial SSU rRNA". It matches the Rfam family "Bacterial small subunit ribosomal RNA", at positions 33 to 933 of the family's 1533-position model. The record is from RNAcentral.